GGGCCCGUAGCUCAGCCAGGUAGAGCGGCGGACCCAACUCCAAGGGGCCGAUGCUCCAGUCCUAAAAGUAUAGUACGGGUCUGUAGACCGUAAGGGAUGAUAGAGGUUAGGGUUUGAGAGACCCGUAGGUCGGGGGUUCAAAUCCCCCCGGGCCCACCA
This 159-nucleotide transfer RNA is filed under the name Desulfurococcales archaeon ex4484_42. RNAcentral describes it as "tRNA-OTHER". It matches the Rfam family "tRNA". From Rfam's summary of the family: Transfer RNA (tRNA) molecules are approximately 80 nucleotides in length. The record is from RNAcentral. Lineage: Archaea; Thermoproteati; Thermoproteota; Thermoprotei; Desulfurococcales.